This 453-nucleotide ribosomal RNA is filed under the name Acanthamoeba sp. ACA_2643/10. RNAcentral's name for it is "SSU rRNA". It matches the Rfam family "Eukaryotic small subunit ribosomal RNA", at positions 734 to 1096 of the family's 1831-position model. Lineage: Eukaryota; Discosea; Longamoebia; Acanthamoebidae. The record is from RNAcentral.
UUUGGGCCCCAGAUCCGUUUACCGUGAAAAAAUUAGAGUGUUCAAAGCAGGCAGAUUUCAAUUUUCUGGCCCCCCGAAUACAUUUAGCAUGGGAUAAUGGAAUAGGACCCUGUCCUCCUAUUUUCAGUUGGUUUUGGCAGCGCGAGGACUAGGGUAAUGAUUAAUAGGGAUAGUUGGGGGCAUUUAAUAUUUAAUUGUCAGAGGUGAAAUUUUCUGGAAUUUAUGAAAGAUUAACUUUUGCGAAGGCAUCUGCCAAGGAUGUUUUCAUUAAUCAAGAACGAAAGUUAGGGGAUCGAAGACGAUCAGAUACCGUCGUAGUCUUAACCAUAAACGAUGCCGACCAGCGAUUAGGAGACGUUGAAUACAAAACACCACCAUCGGCGCGGUCGUCCUUGGCGCGUUCGUGUUCACGCACGGGCGCGCGAGGGCGGCUAGCCCGGUGGCACCGGUGAA